This is a long non-coding RNA of Dermacentor albipictus, 925 nucleotides long. RefSeq lists it as uncharacterized. Lineage: Eukaryota; Metazoa; Arthropoda; Arachnida; Ixodida; Ixodidae. The record is from RefSeq and is a predicted model, not a curated record.
AAUAGCUUCAUAAUGCAAGCCAAACAUCGAUGGUUGGAUGUUCACGUUGAAUAAUAUUGCGAUCAUUCAAUGACAAGGAAGAAAAGGGAUACAUAUAAAAGAUCAUAACGGCAGCUAGGCACAUUCUUUCAGCGGCUGUGCCUCUUAUUCACCACACACGUGUUGCCACACGAAUGGCACACGUUUUACUCAAUUCAUCUGACUCUAAUGAAGCAGACGUUUGUAUGACUCAAUUGGAUUACUCGCCUAUACAUCUUGCACAAAUCUUUUGCAGGGAUCUCGCAGAUGUGCAGCAAACAGCUGUGCGCAUUUUUUUCUAGCACAGGCAGGUGCUAGCACAUGCCAUGGUACGUUAACGUUGUUUCGUCUUUAUUGCAGGGAAACACACUCUGCGUCUCUAGAAAAGCGCUAACGCUCCACAUACGAUAAGUGCAUGCGUAGUCAAUAUCGCACUAGCACGGCAGCGACGGCAGCAGCACCGGUGGCUCUGAUACGCCUGGACCGUCCGUAUUAAUGCCAUGAAAAUAAAAGAAGACCUCAGAUGGUCUUAACAGAUGGACUUUGGGACCCUCGCCUGUAUGCUACUACCAACCAACUUUGUAUCUUGAAUGAACGAUAAACUGAAACUGAAACUGAAACGCGGGUCCACCUUGAUGAAGACCUGGAUGGAUGACAGCUCGCCCCAAUGUCGCCAGCGAAAUGAUGAUGAUGAUGAUGAUGACGCCUCAAUCAAUGGCACAAACCCACUAUGGGGGAUAGGCCAUGAAUCGGGUGGUAAUAUGAUUGAAUCAAUAAAAGAAUUUGGUUAAUAAAUAACUAACACAAAAAAGUAAAGUAAAUAUAUAAUCCAAGAUGAAAAAUAAUCUGUGAACACAUGAGUAAAACUAGUGAUCAGUACCAUAGUAAACCUUGCGUUGAUAGGAAU